Molecule: ribosomal RNA, 512 nt
Filed under: uncultured bacterium
Lineage: Bacteria
Description: bacterial SSU rRNA
Rfam family: Bacterial small subunit ribosomal RNA
Source: RNAcentral
AGAGUUUGAUCCUGGCUCAGAGCGAACGUUAGCGGCAGGCUUAACACAUGCAAGUCGAGCGACAAAGGGGCUUCGGCCCUGAGUAGAGCGGCGGACGGGUGCGUAACACGUGGAUAAUCUGCCUCGUGGCGGGGGAUAACAGUCCGAAAGGACUGCUAAUACCGCAUGUCAGGUCGGAAACCCCGGUUUCUGACGAAAAAGAGGGCGCCCGCAAGGGGCUCUCACCACGAGAUGAGUCCGCGGCCCAUCAGCUAGUUGGCGGUGUAAUAGACCACCAAGGCUAAGACGGGUAGCUGGUCUGAGAGGAUGACCAGCCACACUGGGACUGAGACACGGCCCAGACUCCUACGGGAGGCAGCAGUGGGGAAUAUUGGACAAUGGGCGAAAGCCUGAUCCAGCCAUGCCGCGUGAGUGAUGAAGGUCUUCGGAUCGUAAAGCUCUGUGGAAGGACGAAAAGCCUAACCUAAUACGUUAGGUCUUGACGGUACCUUCUUAGCAAGCACCGGCUAACU